GCGUCGGUGGUUCAGUGGUAGAAUACUCGCCUGCCACGCGGGUGACCCGGGUUCGAUUCCCGGCCGACGCA
This 71-nucleotide transfer RNA is filed under the name Rhipicephalus microplus (southern cattle tick). Its description in RNAcentral is "tRNA-Gly". It matches the Rfam family "tRNA". From Rfam's summary of the family: Transfer RNA (tRNA) molecules are approximately 80 nucleotides in length. RNAcentral also lists the same sequence under 1 other name. The record is from Rfam by way of RNAcentral. Lineage: Eukaryota; Metazoa; Arthropoda; Arachnida; Ixodida; Ixodidae.